This 253-nucleotide ribosomal RNA is filed under the name uncultured bacterium. RNAcentral's name for it is "partial 16S ribosomal RNA". It matches the Rfam family "Bacterial small subunit ribosomal RNA", at positions 524 to 776 of the family's 1533-position model. The record is from RNAcentral.
UACAGAGGUCCCAAGCGUUGUUCGGAUUUACUGGGCGUAAAGGGUGCGUAGGCGGCGCGGUAAGUCGGGUGUGAAAUCUCGGGGCUUAACUCCGAAACUGCAUUCGAUACUACCGUGCUUGAGGACUGGAGAGGAGACUGGAAUUUACGGUGUAGCGGUGAAAUGCGUAGAUAUCGUAAGGAAGACCAGUGGCGAAGGCGGGUCUCUGGACAGUUCCUGACGCUGAGGCACGAAGGCCAGGGGAGCAAACGGG